Molecule: long non-coding RNA, 2110 nt
Organism: Arachis stenosperma
Lineage: Eukaryota; Viridiplantae; Streptophyta; Magnoliopsida; Fabales; Fabaceae
Exons: 8
Source: RefSeq, a predicted model, not a curated record
UUUUUCUUUCUUUUUUUAACUUUUUAUUUUUCCUGAAACUGUAUUCACUUUCUCAAUGCCGAUUCAGAUGAGAUGAGAAGAGAUGAGAAACAGAGAAAGUGACGUAACAACCUUCACCAUGCUACAGUUCAUCGUUCGUUGUCGUGAUUCGCAUUGGACAUUCACCGUUCGCUGUUCACCGUUCACUAUUCACUGUCGCGGUUCGCGUUCACCGUUCACUGUCCCUGCAUCGUCCUUUCUCUUCCCUUCGAGUGCGACCCCUAAUUCCACAUCCAGCGACUUUUUCUUUUCUUCCAACCUUGAUAGGUCAAACAUACACUUGAAACUCUUAUAAUAUGUAUGUUGGUUACUGCCAAGUGCCAAAUGUAUCUACUCAAUUGUUAAAGAGUAAAGACAGAGCACAUGGAAGAAAAAGUAGGGGAAGGUGUAAUGUUUAUUAGAGUAGCACCAAAUUUAUAUUUUUCUCUAUUCUUGUCUUUUGUCUUGGGUUAGAUGUUCAAUCACAAAAGUGGCAUAUGCAGAGCCUGGCCCUCUCUCUUGAGUAAAUUUGUGAUUAUGACUAAUCUGAAUUGCUUUGAAGUUUGAAGUUUGAAGAGGUUCUUUGAUGCUUGUUCUUCAGUUGAUGGAUGUUAAAGGCCUCACAAUUUCACACGUCAAGAGCCAUCUUUAGAUGUACAGAAGCAUGAGGGAUGACUUGGGAAGGUAAGUAUGAAUUCAACGCCGAAAAGGGGGAGGAUAACAAGGGAGAGUUAUACAAUUUUGUCCUAGCUUGCCACCAUACAUAAGUGGAUUGAUCAUUUUGGAGGGUCGACUACCCAUGCCAUCUUUUGACAAGGCACUGCAUAUUUUACUAUUUUUUACUUUAAUUUUACCAAUCCACAAUGAAUUCAGUAGUUUGCAUAAAUUAAUUAAUCGAAAUCUGUCAAUAACUCAUCAAGAUUGAAUGUCCAUUAAUAUUUGUGUGAUAGAUCUUCAUAAGGCUUUUCAUGCUUAAUUCUUUUAAAGGCUCAAUAAUUGCCACUACAUAUAGAUAGCAGCUUCACUUUUGGUACCUCAACUUGGGAAGCUUGAGCAUUUACAAUAUCUUUUUGCUGUUCUUUCUAAAGUGACUUUAUUUUUUUCAGUUGAUUUUAAUUUAAUGUAUUUAAUUUACUUGCAUUCUCUUCUUUCUUGAUUUCUUUGUACUGGUGUUUAUGAAUGAAAUUCAUUUUUUGUUGAAGUCCUGUUUAAUACUAAACAUUCUUGGGCAACAUCCUUUAGGAUAAAGUUUAGGAACAUAUGCAUCAAGUCAUGUAAUAACGAAUUAUACUUUAGCUACAUCUGAUGGAGGAGAAGGAGCGGCAGAAAGCCAAAGCAAAGGCUAAGGAGGUUGAGGCAGCUGAGGCUGCAAAAAGAAGUGCUAGAGCUGCAGUUGCUUCAUUGCUUCCUUCCAAGUUGUUUGGGAAUAAGGAUGCUGAUUCAGAGGCUAAAUGAUGCAAAUGCUUCUGAGCCAGAGUUGGUAGAGAGAAUAACUGAAACUGAGAGUUCAGUUAAUGGAGAGACUAAAAAAGAGGAGUCUCAAUUGAAAUCAGGGGGCAGGCAGGAUUCUUAUGAAGCUCGGAUUUGAAGUGACUGAAGAUUGAUCAUUCACCAUAAGGCUUUUGGACUGAACCGGAAUAAUGUUGUCAACUGCAGAAGAAGCUAUUGAACUUACAGCAGAGGGACUGGAUACCAUUGAAGCAAUUGAUUGUAUUUUAGGAUCAUCUUGGAGUUUCUUUUUGGGAACUUGAUUCCAAGUAUACUGGAUAUUUGGAGCCAAAUUGUCUGAAGGUAUUUUUGUUGGCUCAUUUCUCUCUAUGUCAUCAAUAGCAGUGAGGACAAGAGUUGCUUGUGAAGUAAUUGUUGAAGUUUGAUACUAUUGAGGUUGAAUGUGAAGUGAAGUUGAGGAGAAAAGUUGAGGAUUAAGUUACAAGUACAAUUGUUAGCUUUAUAUGUUUCGAUUAAGUUAGGAUUUUUUGAAUUUACAUUUUAUGGAUUAUGACUAUGUAAAAUUUGUAGAAUUUAACUUUUGAAAUAUAUUGUUUCUAUUUUUGUAAAACUUGUGAGAUUGAGUUUAAAUUUGUUGAAAUAU